CGGCACUCUGGAGACGCCCGCCUCGCGGGGGCCGAAGGUGAAAGCCGGGCACGCUGUGCCGGGUGAAUCUCUCAGGCAAAAGGACAGAGC
RNAcentral lists this non-coding RNA (90 nucleotides) under bovine gut metagenome. Its description in RNAcentral is "Glycine riboswitch". It matches the Rfam family "Glycine riboswitch aptamer", at positions 9 to 86 of the family's 94-position model. From Rfam's summary of the family: This family represents the bacterial glycine riboswitch. RNAcentral also lists the same sequence under 1 other name. The record is from RNAcentral.